This 403-nucleotide ribosomal RNA is filed under the name uncultured bacterium. Its description in RNAcentral is "bacterial SSU rRNA". It matches the Rfam family "Bacterial small subunit ribosomal RNA", at positions 355 to 775 of the family's 1533-position model. The record is from RNAcentral.
UAGGGAAUAUUAGAAAUGGACGAAAGUCUGAUCUAGCAACACCGCGUGUGCGAAGAAGGCCUUCGGGUCGUAAAGCACUUUUUGGAAGGAAUAGGAAGGAAUGUACUUCCAGAAUAAGUCUCGGCUAACUACGUGCCAGCAGCCGCGGUAACACGUAGGAGGCGAACGUUAUCCGGAUUUACCGGGCGUAAAGCGCGUGUAGGUGGUACUGUAAGUAGGGCGUGAAAGCUCCUGGCUUAACUGGGAGAGGCCGUUCUAAACUACAGAACUAGAGGAUGGUAGAGGGAGGUGGAAUUCCAGGUGUAGCGGUGGAAUGCGCAGAUAUCUGGAGGAACACCGGUGGCGAAGGCGGCCUCCUGGACCAUUCCUGACACUCAGACGCGAAAGCUAGGGUAGCAAACGG